CGACGCGAUGCGGGAGAAACCUCGACUUCUGAGGUGCCGUAGGAGCAAUCUCCUCCCCGGGAAUCUCUCAGGCGCAUGUACCGCAACGCGAAG
Molecule: non-coding RNA, 93 nt
Filed under: Mycobacterium sp.
Lineage: Bacteria; Bacillati; Actinomycetota; Actinomycetes; Mycobacteriales; Mycobacteriaceae
Also listed under: 1 other name
Description: Glycine sequence
Rfam family: Glycine riboswitch aptamer
About the family: This family represents the bacterial glycine riboswitch. Glycine riboswitches usually consist of two metabolite-binding aptamers domains with similar structures in tandem.
Source: RNAcentral